AUUGAACGCUGGCGGCAGGCUUAACACAUGCAAGUCGAGCGGGGUGAUGGUGCUUGCACUAUCACUUAGCGGCGGACGGGUGAGUAACGCUUAGGAAUCUGCCUAUUAGUGGGGGACAACAUCUCGAAAGGGAUGCUAAUACCGCAUACGUCGUACGGGAGAAAGCAGGGGAUCACUUGUGACCUUGCGCUAAUAGAUGAGCCUAAGUCGGAUUAGCUAGUUGGUGGGGUAAAGGCCUACCAAGGCGACGAUCUGUAGCGGGUCUGAGAGGAUGAUCCGCCACACUGGGACUGGGACACGGCCCAGACUCCUACGGGAGGCAGCAGUGGGGAAUAUUGGACAAUGGGGGGAACCCUGAUCCAGCCAUGCCGCGUGUGUGAAGAAGGCCUUAUGGUUGUAAAGCACUUUAAGCGAGGAGGAGGCUCUUUUGGUUAAUACCCAAGAUGAGUGGACGUUACUCGCAGAAUAAGCACCGGCUAACUCUGUGCCAGCCGCCGCCGUAA
This 503-nucleotide ribosomal RNA is filed under the name uncultured bacterium. RNAcentral describes it as "partial 16S ribosomal RNA". It matches the Rfam family "Bacterial small subunit ribosomal RNA", at positions 30 to 523 of the family's 1533-position model. The record is from RNAcentral.